This 242-nucleotide unclassified non-coding RNA is filed under the name Metamycoplasma orale. Its description in RNAcentral is "Mycoplasma orale 16S-23S ribosomal RNA intergenic spacer". Lineage: Bacteria; Bacillati; Mycoplasmatota; Mycoplasmoidales; Metamycoplasmataceae. The record is from RNAcentral.
CUUUCUACGGAGUACAAUUGAAGUUAUCCAUACUUCAUAAAUAGUUAAUGGCCCAAUAUUCGUAUCCAGUUUUGAGAGAACUAUCUCUCAUUUAUUCUUUGAAAACUGAAUUAGACAUUGAAAAUUAAAAUAUUAAUAUUCAAAAAUUUAGAUCAACCUAUAGAAUAUUCAAAAAUAUAGAGACAAAUACAAAAACAAAACAAUAGGUCAAAAAUACUUAUACGUAAUUAAAAUAUAUAACU